CACAAACUAACUCCCAACCAGUUUAGGCUCUCUGUCAGUCUCUCAUGAAAACUGAACUGCAAGGCUCAUAUAAGAACCACCCCAAAUUAUAUGCAUCACAUGAUUUCUAUAAGAGUAUCUGCAUUCACUGUCACACAUCUAAAGCGUUAUUUCAAUUUGCUGCCACUGAAUUGUAUGAGCUGGAUCUGAAAUUUCAGUCCUGUCAAGUAUUUGCAUCAUGUCCAGUGACCUACUUCACCACUCCCUGAUGGUUAAAGUUUGAUGUACUGAAUAAGGUGCUAUCACCUGAGUUCACAGAUCACACUGGAAUGAAAACCAAACUAUAAUUAUGGCUUGGCAUAAUAUGCGAACUUGAUAGCAGUUGAACAUCUAUUAAUUACUUCAUUCGAUAAUCUUUUCCAUUGCAGAGACAUAAAUGAUCACAGAAUAAAAAUAUUAUUUUUUUCCUAAAUAUAGACACGUAUCCUUAAUGGUAGAUGGCACAUGGAAGCAGAAACAUAUAUCAAAAUGCACAAACUGAAAUUUACAUUCUUGCUUUAGACCUGGAUAUAAGUAUGCAAGAGCCCUGUUAUGAAACUGUUAGGAAUGUAAGUCACCUAAUAGUUGGGUUGGAAAAUAUAUAAAACAGGAUAGACAUUUUAAUACUGUCUCUUUAAGCAAACGCUAAAAUUGUAAUUGGGUGUGGUUCCUCAAACAGCCAUAACAUGGAGCCAGAAACCUGGAUUGUUUAGUUCCUGUUCUGUUGUUCUGGAGAGUGUUGCCGUUCCUAUUGAAUGUUACUGAUCAUAGUUCGUCUUGGAUUUGAUGUAAGUCUGUUACUGAACUGUUUUUGAUACUGGACUUUGUUAUUGGAUUAUCCCUGGAUUGAAAACUGACUGCUCCAACUGUGAAUGACUUGGACUACUUGUUUGGACUUUGUUUAAACAUUUAUUGGAAGUAAAAACCUACAUUUUACUAUACAGUGUAUCUGCGUACUGUGUAUUCUUCUUCAUCACUCUCACAACGUCUGUGUGCGCUCAUUUUCCUAACGGGGAAUUACCUCAACAGAAACCACUGCAAAUAUCCUUAGUUUUGCAAUCUCAAUCUGUUGUAGAUAUCUAUCCCUAUGUAUUUUCUGAGGCUGUAAUUAGUUUGUGUUAGGGAACCCUUUUGGGGAAAAUCACCUUUUUAUCCCCUCACAUUUCAUUUGUGGAAUUUUUUUUUUCAGCUCCCAAAUUUUUGUUACUACUUCCAUCCUUAAUUCCCCCAGUUUUUUAAUCUGUGGUUUAAGGCAUCAAACUGGUGAUGUGAAACAAGCACAGCAAAAAGAGGAAAAUGGAACACAAGCAAACAAGCAACUGUAUUUUCAUAACCAAAAAAAUAUCAUUCCAAUAGAUUUUCCAGUUGAGGUUUAACUGUUUGGAUCCCUUCCAUUCUAAAGCUUAGGACAAUUGAACUGUUCAAUCUGCAAUGUAAAAUAUUAUGUUUUGAAAAGGUGUUCAAUAACAGCCACAAAUAUGAAGUCAUUACAAAUGGCAAGUUUUUAUGCUAAAAUCUGUUUAUAUUGCAUUACCAUUCAUACAACAUGGCAAACUCUGACUUUUUAACCAUGAUCUACUAAACAAGCCUCAAAAGUGAUUUUUUAAAAAACAUUCUAAGUCUCAAAACUUGAUUAACAUAUCAUAGUGCCUAGGCUCACACAACGCACUAUGCCACUAAACAAUAUAUAUAUAUUUCAGUAUAUAUGUUUAUUUCAGUAAAAUACAACUAAUGAUUACAUUAGCUUAAUUAACAUAAUUAUUUCAAAAAUAUUUGUGUCACAAAUGCAAACAAUAGCAAUGGCUUAUUAAUAGUACAAUAAAUGGUUGGAUUCCCAAAAUACAUCAAACUAAAACCAAAUAAACCACUUUGGCUUAGUAGAGUAAGAAUUCACUGUUUUGUGAGCCUAGCUUUCAUAAUGUCUACAAAGAAACUUAUUUUUAUAUGAAAAAUAUAUGGCUGAUUUCUGAUUCUAAUCACCAAACAAGAAAGUAAAACUGAAAAAUUGUAUUAUUCUGAUAUUCAGAGCUAUGUUUAUUUAAAUCUGGCGAUAUGUGGAGGAAUAACAAGUAAGGUGAAAUGCUACUUUUUAAAAAUGAAUAAAAUUAGGUAGGUUAUUGUAGCAAUUUUCCUGACCUAAAUGUCAAUAUUUCUUCAAUAGUUCUGUCUCCUUCAAGGAGAUGUAAACUGCCCUCUUCCUUAAGGUCAGUUUUGUAUUUCAAUUUAGAUUCUCCUAAUCCCAAUAUGAUUAUUUUAAUCCAGAUAUUUAAUGUGAGUGUUCUUCCAGAAGU
RNAcentral lists this long non-coding RNA (2309 nucleotides) under Laticauda laticaudata (blue-ringed sea krait). RNAcentral describes it as "lncRNA (ENSLLTG00000003542.1)". Lineage: Eukaryota; Metazoa; Chordata; Lepidosauria; Squamata; Elapidae. The record is from RNAcentral.